AGUGAACGCUGGCGGUAGGCCUAACACAUGCAAGUCGGGCGGCAGCACAGUAAGAGCUUGCUCUUACGGGUGGCGAGUGGCGGACGGGUGAGGAAUACAUCGGAAUCUACUUUUUCGUGGGGGAUAACGUAGGGAAACUUACGCUAAUACCGCAUACGACCUACGGGUGAAAGCAGGGGAUCUUCGGACCUUGCGCGAUUGAAUGAGCCGAUGUCGGAUUAGCUAGUUGGCGGGGUAAAGGCCCACCAAGGCGACGAUCCGUAGCUGGUCUGAGAGGAUGAUCAGCCACACUGGAACUGAGACACGGUCCAGACUCCUACGGGAGGCAGCAGUGGGGAAUAUUGGACAAUGGGCGCAAGCCUGAUCCAGCCAUACCGCGUGGGUGAAGAAGGCCUUCGGGUUGUAAAGCCCUUUUGUUGGGAAAGAAAAGCAGCAGGUUAAUACCCCGCUGUUCUGACGGUACCCAAAGAAUAAGCACCGGCUAACUUCGUG
Molecule: ribosomal RNA, 492 nt
Filed under: uncultured bacterium
Lineage: Bacteria
Description: partial 16S ribosomal RNA
Rfam family: Bacterial small subunit ribosomal RNA
Source: RNAcentral